Cygnus olor (mute swan) is the source of this 2279-nucleotide long non-coding RNA. RefSeq lists it as uncharacterized. The transcript is spliced from 3 exons. The record is from RefSeq and is a predicted model, not a curated record. Lineage: Eukaryota; Metazoa; Chordata; Aves; Anseriformes; Anatidae.
GAAAGGGAUAAUGAAGGAGAGGGCUCCAGAACUCACUAAAGUGGAAUUAGGAGUCAGCAAAUAGCCUAUUAAAGAAUGGAAAGUGGAUUAAUCAGUGAAAAGCCAGCACUUUUAUCAAAAGAGUCUGGAGAUAAAGUAAGAAAUUCAAAAGGUAAAGCGCUUUGCAAAGAACAUUAAAACUUCUAGUUGCCAGGUACAAACAGACUACGGAAAACUAGGGCUUUUGUGCACUGGGGUUGUGAUAUGGUCCCCAAACUAAAUGAAUACUUGCUAAAUUGAAUUAGGAGAUCGUGCAAAGGAAGAAUAACUGAAAGGAACGAGGGAAUAAAGAUAAUAAGGGUGAAGUACAAAUGUGCACUCAGGCCAAGAGACUAGCCACUCUCUACCUGAAGCAUAAAAUUUCAAAUUUAUCACCAGCAUAGGACUAAUGAUAGUGUGCAAGGUGGGAUGAGAGCUGAAACUCUCCAAGAAAGAUGGAAGAGGUGUAGAGAAGAGCUACUAAAAUUCUACUUUCUAGGAAGAAAACCAAAAGCUGAUCUUAAAUAAGCCAUUUUGUCUGCAAUUGAGCAUGGUGUUACCAUUCUAGUUGGGAACUUGGUUCUUUCGUUCAGAAAUCUUCUCCAGGUCAGUUAAAGGGAAGAAACCAUUUUCAUCUCUUCCACUCAAAAUGUUCAGACUGCAGGAAUGCAUAUAUCUCAAAAUCACUUCCAGUUACUAUUGUGAUGACAUCUGAGAGUAGUGCUAAGGAGUAAGAGAUUCAUAUCAUGUGGUUGUAGACUUGAAUCCUGCGAUGGCAAUCCUCAUGUAAACCAUCUGUUAACACUUGGGGAAAAAAAAUGUGCAGUAUAUUCAACAGUGAUCCAUGGGUUACAUGAAAGUUCACGUAUGACCCAAUAGUGUCAGCCAGAAAUUUUCUCUUCAUAUCAUUGAACAAUUUGAGGUACAAGCAUAUCCACCACUUGCUUUAAAUUGAAAUUCUGUUCCUAAUGGAAGUCUUUUAACAAAGGGAGCUCCUGUUCAUCUGAAGACAGAGAAGAGACAUGGGAAAGGAGAAUAAGGAAGGAGCAUUGAAGCUAAGAUUAGUGGAAUUUCCUAGAAUCGGAAGAGAGAAGACAGUGUUGUAAAAAUGCAAAGGUUGUCAAAUGCUGAAGGAACAGAUGAUCAUGGGAUUUGGACAGAAGAGAGUAGCAUGUCUUGUAAAAGGAAAAUCCAGCUUCCCUGGAUGACUACAUGAAGAGAAAGGAAACUGACUGAACAAGAAAUGGCCUAUUUAUAGAAAUAACAGCUAGAUGCCUCUCUGGAGAGGAAAAAAAUAUGAACAGACUUCUUGGAGGACACUGUGCUCAAGAAUUAUUUUGGAAAUGCAUGUAUUGUUUUCACUUUGUCUAGAGUUCUGUUUUAGCUACAGCAAUAAAACUGGAAAGUAAUUUGAAUGAAAAAUUUAAGUUAGAUUUCAUCUUUAAUUUAUGACAGCUACCUCUGAUUUAGUAGCAGUUUUAUGCAGUAUUUCUGGGAUUAGCUGUAAUUUGACCAAACAUAGCUGUCUACUUUAGGAUGAGAUGAGUUGUACCUUACAAGCAUGUAUUUUUCUCUGCUGUUUUUCAAGGGAGACAUACUUUCAGUUCUGCAAGUCUGUCUCCUUUUAGCAGUUGUAUGUCCAACCCACUGUAAGAUGUUAGCAAAACUUUUUGUUUAUUGUGACUUAAGGUGGAGAAAAGAUAUCAAUUUAAAUGUUACAUCUCUUGGUAUGAUAUACUUAAAAUUCUCAGCCUUCUAGUACCCAUUAUGAACACCACAGGCUUUGAGAACACAGUGUGGUAUAAAUGGUUUCCCAAAGUGAUUAAGCAGGUUCCUCACCUUGCACAAGCAAGCUUGAUACUCCAUAGAGGCUGCACUGAGGUUAGGGCCAUUAUUUAACAGGUCCUCCUGAGCCAGAUGAGAGCUUCAUCAAAGUGGAAACUGAAUUGAUGAUUCAAUAUCUAGCUGAAUAGGAAAAAGUCUUAGCCUUUAGCUGAGGACAGAAACAUAAAUACAACAAAAGAAUGUUGAAGAGAAACAACCUUUUUUGAUUUAUACUAUCAUUGUAACAGUGCUCUGCAGGUAUAGCCAUGGCGUAAACAGGCUAUUUAAAUGCACCAGAAGCUAAAAAUUAACUGUAAUAAGUUUUUACAUGAAUAAGUGAAAGAGAUUUUGCUCUGUUUAAGUAGUAUACAAAUAAAAGUGUCCUCUGUUCCAGGGCAGCAGUAUCUUUCAAAGGAUGAAAAGAUAUUCAAAAUAGC